AAGCUUGAAAUUAAAAGUUAAUAGUUAGUAAGUUAGAAGUUAGUAUUGUUUUGUUUUUCAUUUCAAGACAUUCUUUGGAGAACACUCAACCCACUUAUCACAAGCAUGGAUCCUUGAACCAAAACAUCUUCCAAAGGAAGGAAAGAAGACCAAGUUUCCACAUAAUACCAUGAAAGAGGGGAGACUUACAAUCUUACUAACUA
RNAcentral lists this long non-coding RNA (203 nucleotides) under Lathyrus oleraceus (garden pea). RNAcentral's name for it is "Pisum sativum (pea) long non-coding RNA (PSAT_LNC013057)". The record is from RNAcentral. Lineage: Eukaryota; Viridiplantae; Streptophyta; Magnoliopsida; Fabales; Fabaceae.